Molecule: long non-coding RNA, 4895 nt
Filed under: Homo sapiens (human)
Lineage: Eukaryota; Metazoa; Chordata; Mammalia; Primates; Hominidae
Description: non-protein coding lnc-RBM11-4:5
Source: RNAcentral
ACGCCAGCCAGACUUAUUUAUGCAAAUGUUUUCUCCCUACCACUGUGCUCAUUGAGAAGGACUGCUGACCCAGGUGUUUUGUAGCUUUUAAAAUAAUUGUUCAAUAUGAUAUUAGGUUGUAGAAUGUGGUCACAAAUUUCUCAAGUCUAGAGAAGUCCAUUCCAGAAGUCUAGCAGGUCUAUUCCACUGACUCUCAACUUUAUUAUGCUUAUGCUUGACUCUUAUGUCUUUCCUAUUUAACUUAUUUUAUAAAAUGUAGAACAUAUGUUUUGAAAGUCAAACCAUACCAAAGUCAAACCUGGUGGGAGUGCUACAACUGUAAAAAGGUGGAAACACUCAGUAAGCAGUCAAAGUUUGGCAUGGAAAUAGACACGGCUGCAAUAAGGUAGUGGACUUAUGGGCUAAGUUUCCUUGCUUUCAUACUUGCAUGUAGUGUAGCUAGUUUCCCAAAACACAUAAAAGGAAGUCAUUUCUCUGUGAAGUGGUCUUUAGAGGAGGGUUUUUCUACUUCAGCAUUAUUAUUUGAGACUGGAUAAUUCUUUGCUGUGUGUGUGGAUGGGGGUGGGAGGGUUGCUGUGCUGUGCGUUAUGAGAUGUUUAGCAGCAUUGCAUCCGUGGUCUUUGUCCAUUAGAUGCUGUUGACAUCCUUCUUCCCAAUUGUGGCCACCAAAAGUGUUUCUAGACAUACCCAAAUGUCCACUGGGGGAACAAAACCCUCGUUCCUCACCAUUUUCCCUCCUCUGUGGUUGAGAAUGACUUCUCUAGAUUACCAUUUCAAGAUUUAGCUUAAGUUUCUGACAGUGGUGUUACAGAAGGCCAUUUUCAUCAUUGUCAUUUAUUAUUUCAUGUUAGUUUAGUGGUUUACUACAAGUAGCCUAGGGUCAAGGAAAUAUAUCCAGUUCAUUUAAUAGUAUUCUUAAUCAACUAUGUUCCUAAGUUCUUAUGUUUCUUUUAAUCUAUGAACCUAUGUUCCUACUGUUGCCUGAAAGAUUCACAAGAGGAAAAAUGUACUGAGUAUAGACAAUAAAAAAUUUAAUGUGGCCAAAUAUAGCAUAUAUUUAACAUUGUAAAGCAUAUCUCAAAUAUUUGCAGCAUUUCAUGGCAACAAAAGCUGCUAUAGAAUAAGUGGGUCAGAAUUACCAUCAGGGAAGUAGUACCCAAAAUAUCUUCCGACUAUUAUAGGCCAGGCCAAAGCAAAAAACAGCUCAAUUAGAUUUGGGAGGCAUUCCUUCCAGGCUGCUAAAGUAUCACCAGUCAAACAGCAUUCACAAGAAACACAGGUCUGAGAUAACCAAGUUAGUGCUCUAAUAAGACUUCAAAUGCUCUGAGAACAAGCUUCACUGUAUUUUUGCUCACAGAAGUUUCACAUCUAUCCUUGCUCAGGCCUAGGAUUUUAGUCGGCUAGCAGCAAAAGAAGAUGAACUUGAAAUUUCACUUCAAGAAGUAUUAGGCUUUAUGGAAUAUAAAAGUAAUUCAGAAGCAUAGAAAACCAUGAAUAAUAAACAAACUCUGAUAGAAAAUAAAUAAAGGAACUCAAGGAAUUGCCUUCCAAUAUCCUUGGCAACCAGAGAAGCAAUCAAUGAGUUUUAAAACUCCCAUAUACAUAUUUGGUGCUCACAAAUACCUGAAUAAUAAAGACGAUUAUCAUGCAGAGUGACAAAGUACAGAUAAACACACUCCAGCUUUGCAAGUACAAAACCAGUUAAAACCAGUUAUUCUACUCCUGACGUUUAACAAGUAGAGCUUUACACAUAUACUAAAAGCCACAGUGAACUGGGUGAAAGUUUGUUGGGCCUGGGGAGUGGGAAACUGGCUUAGUAACACCAGAGUCAUCUCAGUGUGUGACCCCUGGCAAACCAUGCUCCUGAGAAGACAGCAGAAGGAAAAGGUUGCUUUACCAAAGGUUAGAAAUACAGGAAUAUAGAGUGCGUGAAUGCAAGCUAUGUGACUUAUGUAGGCUUUUACAUACCAAAGCUGCUUCCAAAGUCAGUAGGAGAGGCUGGUCCCAUCAGCUGGAUAAGCACAGCAAAAAUUAAGAUGGUUUGAUAUCCACAUCUCCAGUUGCUUAAGUUGUUUACUCUGUUCCCUCUGAAUCACAUCACAUCUUAUUUUCAACUGAAACAUGGAAACCUUUCUGGCCUAAUACUUCUUUUCCAAAUAAUAUUUAUUUUCAUGUGGCAUUAAUCUUUUUUUACUAAUUAUUCUUGGGUGCAGCAUAUUUUGUAACCACCUAAGCACACACUGAUCCAAAGCUGAAUAUUAUAAAUAGUUAUAAUCACAUUCAUCAAAAAGUUCAAAGUGAGAGUGGGCUAAAAAAUAAGUAGGAGUCAGAAAGAGAGAGUAGGAGAUUGGGUAAAAUGAUAAAAUAAUGAGAAAAAGAAAUAAUUUCUAUGUAUCAGGUAGGAGAGAGAAGCUAUUUCCUAGGGCUUUGGGGGAAAUGAAUUUCCCACACCAAAGGUGGAGUAGAUUGAAAAACCGAUAGAUUGCUCUUCACUCCUUCACUGAGGUUCUGAAACUGUAGGCAUUGAAUGCUGCAUUAAAGAUACAUGUGCAUCUUAUUCCUCAUAAGUAAAUUACAUUGUUUUAUUACUAUGCUGUGUGGCCCAAAAGGCAAGCAAUAAUUUUUAGUGGCUGAGAAGAAACUAGUUUCACAAACAAGGGGCACUUUGAAAAAACAAAUGUACUCAAAAAGACAAUGUUGCUCUGGGCUUUAUUUAGAAUUAAAUUCCAGAACUCACUCAAAACUGCAGAACCAGUACUCAAAUUUGGUACCCCUUUUGCUCAUCCUUCCUAAAGUCACCCUUCACACACAAAUCUUUCCACCCUCCUCUCCAGGCAUUUUAAAUAGCUGCAGGAUUAGAAAUUGCAAAACAGAUGCCUCCGGCCAAAAGCACCAAGUUUUGCUGAUAAAUUUUCCUGAAAUCACACAAAUGGAAAAAACGGAAGUCAGAAGUGUACAUUUUAUAUUCAGCAGCUAAAGUCUGAAAUCUCAGGUUAUAAGUAAAUUAUUUUGUGAUUAAAUCCUAAUCUCAUCAAUUUAAAGAACCAAAAACCCAGCUCAAUAAUCCACCACAAUCUUACCUUGAAAAUGUGGUUCUCUUAUUUGAAUGUCUUCUUCCAGUACUAAUUCGAUUUCUUUUCCUGAAAAUUCUGCCACAUGGUGCUACUUUCGGACAUUUAAUAUAUUUCAUUUAUAAUUACUCUCACGUGUAAAUGGUAUCUUUAAAUAAUAUGUGCAGGAGUUCUUAAUAAGUUUUCACAACUCUCCUUAUAAAGCAAAGCUAUUCAUUUUUAGAGAGUUUGAACGUUUUGGUGUUAAUUUGAUAAAUAACAGCUAUUGGACAACUGAAGAGAAUAACCACUCACAGGCAAUCUUCUCUUUGUACUUGAUUUUAAAAUAUUAAUAUUUCAUUCAUGGUGUCUUCUCAAAUUAAAUUUCUCAGGGUUACUGGACCUCAGAUACUAAAAGGACAAAGAAAAGGGACAGAUGAGAACAGCUACGAAGCGAUAGUGAAAACAUAUGGUGUCCAUCUUGUAAGCAUAAGGCUCCCUGGUAUUGCUGCCACUCUCCCUGUGCUCGGGAAAGCUGGAAGAAGCCAGUAGGCAAUCUGGUGUCUCGUCAGAAGAGUGCCAGAAACAGGUGUUGCUGACCUAACCCUUUCCUCCUACCACAGAUUCUCUUGGUAAAUCCUACACUCGUUACCAUAGCAUUGCUUUCAAACACACUUAUCAGAUGAAAACCAAGUGUUCCAAAAUAACAGUUUAUAUGGAGUCAAAAUGCUGAAAAUUGCUGUGAUUGGUUUUUUCUUUCUCUUUUUUUUUUUCAGUUUUUAGAAUCGGGUAAUUUUAAAAUUACAAUAAAAUGCACACAUUUUAAGUGUUCCCUGCGUGAGUGUUGAUGGUUGUAUACACCGAUGUAGCACCACCCAAAACAAGAUACAAAACGUUUCAAUCACUCCAGAAGUUUUCCUCCUUCUCCUUUUCAGUCAAACCACACUGUACUGAUUUCCAUUGCCAUAGACAAUUUUGCCUGUCUUUGAACAUAAUAUACUGUAUAUAUUCUUUACAUCUGGCUUUUUUUUGCCAAUAUAUAUUUUUAAGACUCAUUCUUACUGUUGCAUGUUAUCACUAGCUCAUUCCUUUUCAUUACAGAGUAAUAUUUAACUGUAUAAAUAUACCACAAUUUGCUUACUCAUUUUCUAGGAAAUGGAUAUUUAAGUGUUUCCAGAUGUUCUUGGAACAGUCUCAUAUAAGACUUUGUGUAGACGUAUGUGAUCAUAUCACCUGGAUAAAUACCUAGGAGUGGAAUUCCUGAGACACAAUAUGUUUAACUUUUAAGAAUGUGGCAAACCUUUCCCCACAAUCGUUGUAAUAUUUUACUCUACUGACUUGUUAGUAUUUAUCUUUCUCCAUAUCCUCAUCAAUAUUUGGUGCUGUCAGUCUUAGCCAUUCCAGUGAGUGUGAAAUGCUAACUCAUUAUGAUUCUAAAUUGCAUCUCUCUGACGACUUAUGAUGUUGAAUAGCUUUUCAGGUGUUCAUUAGCCUCAUCCUAUGUAGGACAUCUUAUUCCCAAAUUUUCUUUUGCUAAGUGUCUUUCCAGACUUUGGCCCAUUUUUUACUGAGCUGUUUAUCUUUUUAUUGUUGACUCGUAAAAGUUAUUUAUAUAUUCUGGAUAUGACCUAUUCAUGAAAAAUAAGUGAUGAGAAUUUUCAAAGUCUGUCGAUUGCCUGUUCACUUUCUUUUAAUGAGCAGAAAUUAAAUUUUAUUGAAAAUCUUUAUGAUCUAUUUCUACGUAAUUUUUGUGUUUUGGGUGAGGUAAGAUCAGAGAUCAUUUUUUGUUUUCUAAUGGAUAGCCAAUCUUUCUUGCAUCAUUUGUUUUUUUUUUGUUUGAUUGUU